GGAAGGGCCACCUCCCAGAAGACAGCCUGGAAUUUGCCCAGGGAGCCAGUCCAUUUAAGGGCGGAGCCACAGGCCCAUUCUGACAGUGUAAAUCAGGAGUUCUGAUUUCACUCCCAUUACUCUUCUUUUUUUUUUUUUGAGAUCAAAAAUGUAUACUCUUAUGUUCUACAGCCCAGUGGUUAGGCCAUGAAGUGGGGAUGUGGGAGACCCAUAGUCUAGUCCCUACUCUGCCUCAUUCAGAGUGAUCUGGAAUGGAGAACUUUGCUCUGAAUCAGGCAUAUCCAGGACUUAAACCUGGGUUUCCCACAUCCCCAGCUAUUUGCCUAACUACAAGGCUGCACACAAGUACAUUCCCCAAUCAAAGAGCUCAAGUUUCAAUCUGAAAAUGGACAUUUUGACAAUUCUGCUUAUGUAAAAACGUUAGAAAGGUUUUGGUUUCAUUCCAGGGUAGAAUCAAAACAAAUGUCAAAAUCUCAUAAAUUGUCAUGAAUUUGAAUUGUUGCUCUCUGGCCAUCUGUAGCAGGGGUUCUAGUGUGUCAGAGAGAAUGGAGCAGUGGCAUGCUAUGUGUCCAUGAGUGAGAGUAGGAGACUGAAGGGACAAUGUGAGGGUAAUGGAGCAGCAGUACAAGUGAAGCCCUUUUAACUGGCAUAUUAGAAUCUCCUUAGCUUCCCAGUCACCACUGUUAGCAUUUUAUAAGGGUCUUUUCCAGCAAAGACUUUUCUGACACCUGGCCCUUUAAAUCUGGGAGAGCCAAGCAUUUUGUAGUUGGCCCUUUAAAUCUCAGAGACACAGGCUUUUGCACCCCCUAAGGAGGCCAUUUUUAUUUUUUUUUUGGCAGAGUACUGCAAGCUGCACCUUUCUUCCUUCUAGUCAACUGCACCACAAGAAGAGUUUGAACAAAAUGUUAAUGCUAGAACCAGUUGAUUUAUGAUAAUGACCUUCCUGCAUAUUGAAGUUGAAAGCCUACUCCUGGAACAUUGUUGUGCUCACCAAGCUAUUAAAGACGGUGUUGGAUUAGCAAAAUUUAGAUACAGUAAUAUUGCAUGGAGCCAUGAAUAAAACACCACAUAUUACAGCAAAACCCAGUAAAAUUUUGCUCUUUCCCUUCAUUCAAAGCCACAGCACUUGCAACAGCCAAACCAUCAAGGACAGGGUCUCUGAACUGCUGACAGGUUGGCCAACCUGAGGGGCAGAAAAAAGAAGACUUGGGCUGAGACAUUUGCAGAACUCAUGACAGAGUCGCUGUGGAAUACCAGGCUGGCUGAGAGACUGGAUAUGAGGACCCAGAGGGAGAAAGUAAACCAGCUCAGGGAAAUGGCCAAGGACAGGGUCACAGUGGCCAGAGAAAGUGUGGCAGUGGCCAACAGCAGCAUCACCAUGGCAAAGGAGAGCACGGAAAAAGACAGAGAGAUGUGAAGGCAACUCAGGGACACUGUCCUGAGCCAAAAUGCCCUCCUGCAAAAUAUGUUCCUGCUAGAAGGCAUUUAGAAGAAAACAACACUGCAACAUAAACAGCACCAUCUCAGAUUCCUCACAUAGUUAUGAAGAUGAAACGAUUGAAGCUGACACCCCGCCGCCUCCAGGCAAGACUGAGGUGAUCCCAUUAGGAGGAGUGUUAGUGGUGGUUUCGGUCCUCCAAUAUCAUUUGUGACUGGCCAGAAGACUGACCCCUGCUUUUCAGAUGCAGACUGACAGGAGAGAUAGUAUUUUACUACUAUGUGAAGGCAGCUUUCUGAUAAAGAUAAUGUUUUCUCUGA
This is a long non-coding RNA of Chelonia mydas (Green sea turtle), 1758 nucleotides long. RefSeq lists it as uncharacterized. The record is from RefSeq and is a predicted model, not a curated record. Lineage: Eukaryota; Metazoa; Chordata; Testudines; Cheloniidae. The transcript has 5 exons.